UACGUAGGGUGCAAGCGUUAAUCGGAAUUACUGGGCGUAAAGCGUGCGCAGGCGGUUUUGUAAGGCUGUCGUGAAAGCCCCGGGCCCAACCUGGGAAUUGCGAUGGAGACUGCAAGGCUUGAAUCUGGCAGAGGGGGGUAGAAUUCCCCGUGUAGCAGUGAAAUGCGUAGAGAUGGGGAGGAACACCGAUGGCGAAGGCAGCCCCCUGGGUCAAGAUUGACGCUCAUGCACGAAAGCGUGGGGAGCAAACAGG
This 253-nucleotide ribosomal RNA is filed under the name uncultured bacterium. RNAcentral's name for it is "partial 16S ribosomal RNA". It matches the Rfam family "Bacterial small subunit ribosomal RNA", at positions 524 to 776 of the family's 1533-position model. The record is from RNAcentral.